GCCGGGCAUGGUGGCUCACGCCUGUAAUCCCAGCACUUUGGGAGGCCGAGGCGGGUGGAUCACCUGAGGUCAGGAGUUCGAGACCAGCCUGGCCAACAUGGUGAAAACCCGUCUCUA
Molecule: non-coding RNA, 117 nt
Filed under: Nomascus leucogenys (northern white-cheeked gibbon)
Lineage: Eukaryota; Metazoa; Chordata; Mammalia; Primates; Hylobatidae
Source: Rfam by way of RNAcentral